CCCUACCACCCUGAACGCGUCCGAUCUCGUCUGAUCUCGGAAGCUAAGGAGGGUCGGGCCUGGUUAGUCCCUGGAUGGGA
Molecule: ribosomal RNA, 80 nt
Filed under: Propithecus coquereli (Coquerel's sifaka)
Lineage: Eukaryota; Metazoa; Chordata; Mammalia; Primates; Indriidae
Source: RNAcentral